AACGAACGCUGGCGGCAUGCCUAACACAUGCAAGUCGAACGAGACCUUCGGGUCUAGCGGCGCACGGGUGCGUAACGCGUGGGAACCUGCCCUUAGGUUCGGAAUAACUCCCCGAAAGGGGUGCUAAUACCGGAUAAUGUCUUCGGACCAAAGAUUUAUCGCCUUUGGAUGGGCCCGCGUUGGAUUAGCUAGUUGGUAGGGUAAAAGCCUACCAAGGCGACGAUCCAUAGCUGGUCUGAGAGGAUGAUCAGCCACACUGGGACUGAGACACGGCCCAGACUCCUACGGGAGGCAGCAGCGGGGAAUAUUGGACAAUGGGCGAAAGCCUGAUCCAGCAAUGCCGCGUGAGUGAUGAAGGCCUUAGGGUUGUAAAGCUCUUUUACCCGGGAUGAUAAUGACAGUACCGGGAGAAUAAGCUCCGGCUAACUCCGUG
Molecule: ribosomal RNA, 433 nt
Filed under: uncultured bacterium
Lineage: Bacteria
Description: partial 16S ribosomal RNA
Rfam family: Bacterial small subunit ribosomal RNA
Source: RNAcentral